Molecule: ribosomal RNA, 1326 nt
Filed under: uncultured Psychrobacter sp.
Lineage: Bacteria; Pseudomonadati; Pseudomonadota; Gammaproteobacteria; Moraxellales; Moraxellaceae
Description: partial 16S ribosomal RNA
Rfam family: Bacterial small subunit ribosomal RNA
Source: RNAcentral
GGAACGGACGCUAAUACCGCAUACGUCCUACGGGAGAAAGCAUCGGUGACCUUCGGGCCUUGCGCUAUCAGAUGAGCCUAGGUCGGAUUAGCUAGUUGGUGAGGUAAUGGCUCACCAAGGCUACGAUCCGUAACUGGUCUGAGAGGAUGAUCAGCCACACCGGGACUGAGACACGGCCCGGACUCCUACGGGAGGCAGCAGUGGGGAAUAUUGGACAAUGGGGGAAACCCUGAUCCAGCCAUGCCGCGUGUGUGAAGAAGGCCUUUUGGUUGUAAAGCACUUUAAGCAGUGAAGAAGACUCCAUGGUUAAUACCCAUGGACGAUGACAUUAGCUGCAGAAUAAGCACCGGCUAACUCUGUGCCAGCAGCCGCGGUAAUACAGAGGGUGCAAGCGUUAAUCGGAAUUACUGGGCGUAAAGGGAGCGUAGGUGGCUCUAUAAGUCAGAUGUGAAAUCCCCGGGCUUAACCUGGGAACUGCAUCUGAAACUGUAGAGCUAGAGUAUGUGAGAGGAAGGUAGAAUUCCAGGUGUAGCGGUGAAAUGCGUAGAGAUCUGGANGNGAAUANNCCGNANUGGCGAAGGCAGCCUUCUGGCAUAAUACUGACACUGAGGCUCGAAAGCGUGGGUAGCAAACAGGAUUAGAUACCCUGGUAGUCCACGCCGUAAACGAUGUCUACCAGUCGUUGGGUCCCUUNGAGGACUUAGUGACGCAGCUAACGCAAUAAGUAGACCGCCUGGGGAGUACGGNCCGCAAGGUUAAAACUCAAAUGAAUUGACGGGGGCCCGCNACAAGCGGUGGAGCAUGUGGUUUAAUUCGAUGCAACGCGAAGAACCUUACCCGGUNNCUUNGACAUNAUNCUNANGAANUCCUGCAGANGAUGCNGGGNAGUGNCCUUCGGGAAUUNAGAANUNACAGGUGCNUNGCNAUNGGNCUGUNCGUCNAGCUNCGUGUCGUGAGANUGUUGGGNNUUAANGUCCCGNCAACGNAGNCGCAACCCUUNGNUCCUUAGUUNACCAGCGGGUUAANGCCGGGAACUCUAAGGAUACUNNGCCAGUNGNACAAACNUGGAGGAAGGCGGGGACGACGUNCNAAGUCNAUCAUGGCCCUUACGACCAGGGCUACACACGUGNCUACAAUGGUAGGUACAGAGGGCAGCUACACAGCGAUGUGAUGCGAAUCUCAAAAAGCCUAUCGUAGUCCAGAUUGGAGUCUGCAACUCGACUCCAUGAAGUAGGAAUCGCUAGUAAUCGCGGAUCAGAAUGCCGCGGUGAAUACGUUCCCGGGCCUUGUACACACCGCCCGUCACACCAUGGGAGUUGAUUGCAC